Clostridium sp. CAG:356 is the source of this 147-nucleotide non-coding RNA. The record is from Rfam. Lineage: Bacteria; Bacillati; Bacillota; Clostridia; Eubacteriales; Clostridiaceae.
CUCUAAUACUAUUUCAGAUUGUGUAUUUUACGGAAUGCAUACAGCAAAGUAUUAGUAAUAAAGAGAUUUAUUCCUUCCUUUUCUAAAAAGGUAAAAAUGAAACAGUAUAAUAUAUGUUAGUAAUUUUGAUGAAUAUAUAUGUUAUAC